This 2141-nucleotide small RNA is filed under the name Pongo abelii (Sumatran orangutan). RNAcentral's name for it is "retained intron". Lineage: Eukaryota; Metazoa; Chordata; Mammalia; Primates; Hominidae. The record is from RNAcentral.
CAAAAUGUGCUUUGAGGUAGGAAGGGACCUCCUGUAGAGCGGCUUUGGCAUGUGGUCGACCCGCCCUGGGGUGGCUCCUUUUCCCUGUGUUGGCCUGGGGCCACUGCCCCUUCAUGUUUGGCUCACAUGGUCCAGAAGCAUCAGGGGUCUUUUAACCCAGAAUAGUCAAGCCUUGGUUUCCUUACCCCUGCAAUUUUCCAGAGCAGCUAAAAAACGUCCAAGCUGGCAAACCAUUCUUCCUACUCCAAACAUUAGGAGCUUUUACCAGUAAGCAAGGGGUGGGAAGCUUUUCCUUUCUUGAAGAUGCUGCCAGCAUAGUUUCCCUUGUAGCUGCCAUCCUGGGUGCAUGACUUGCAAAACUGAUAUGUGAGAGACAAUAAGACAGAUGGCCUUUGCAAAAGCUCUGCUUAUUUUGAUUUUUGUGGUUCCUUACAAAAGGCGAAGUGAGCAUUGAUCUUUGUUGGUGCUGUUGUAGCUCAAUGGCAACAUCACUGUGUUGUUUCCUCAUUUUAUUUUUCCUAAGACCUUUACCCAUUAUCUGCAGAUUUUCGCAUCUAAGCAAAAUAGGUUCAUAUGAGUCUAGUUACCUAGACAAUUAAUAAAAAAGAGCAAAAUGUUGAGUGACUAUGUCAUAGGUUACUUAUUGUUAAGUUACAACUUUGUAAGCAGCUUGCUUUGUAAAUUUUUCAUCCCCUGAUGGAUGCUGAUUUUAGAAGGUGAGAGAAGUGUUAGAAGGAUGUGAAUAUCGUUUUAUUUAUUGGCCAUAAUUAAGUGCCUUUGGGCUUUUGGGGUACAGGGUUAACCUACAGCUCAACAUUUAAAUCAAAUCCAACCAUAAAAUUCUCUUAAGUACAAAAAAACCAGAUGACCAACCUCAGGGAGAACCCAAGAAAAGCUGAGCUUUCCCGGCAUUGCUGUGCAGCAUUCUGAGAAUAUAGCUUGAUUUUUCUACAUCUUUGUACAGACAACAGUGGUACUGGGCCCUGUCUCUUGGGACAAGUUUCACUGUGAUUUUAAAUUUUUGUUUCAACUUGGAUUCUUCACGAUUGACCGUCAAGUCGAAAUCCUGGUUUUGACUUUCACUACUGUGGGAUGUGCAGAGCAAGUUUUCCACCAAAUUUUCAACGUCGUUCCCCUGGCUUGUUUAAUGAGAGCUUGGAUUUCAGUUUUACUCCAACACCUAAAUAGCCUGGGUCUCUACCAGCAUUGCCACUAGGGUUUUACUUCAUUUCAGCUUCCUGUGGGCAUUGGACACCCUGCACUCUGUAAGGGUAACAUGAAAGAUAGGCCCUUUUCUUACCCAAGCUGAUGUCUGAAGUACCCGUUUUCACAUGACUUGGAAUUAGGAAUCACCGUCAGAUAACACUGAGCUCUUCUGACUCACCCUUUGCACUUGGAGUUUUUGUUUUACUGUUUCCUUAACCUGUCACAGCCCCUUAAUUAGAAUGUAUUGCUAGAGGACAGGCUGCAUUGUCCAACUUUGUGCUGCACAUUUUAUAGAAACACACAAAAUCACCAGACAAGCAGCUGUAGUGUGAACUCAUCCAGAUGCGAUACUGAAAUUCCCCAGAGGGGCAUCUUCAUUGUUUUCUUUCUUUGUUCCAGAAGCAAAGGCCGAUAAUGAACCGAGCUGUUCGCCGGCAGCUCAAGAACUGUUGACAAGGCUGGGAUUUUUACUGGGAGAAGGGAUCCCAAGUGCCACACACAUAACCAUUGAAGACAAAAAUGAAACCAUGUGCACAGCUCUGAGUCAAGGCAUCAGUCCUUGCUCCACACUAACAAGCAGCACCGCAUCUCCUAGCACCGAUAGCCCCUGCUCAACCUUGAAUAGCUGUGUCAGCAAGACGGCAGCCAACAAAAGUCCCUGUGAGACCAUUAGCAGCCCUAGUUCCACCCUGGAAAGCAAGGACAGUGGAAUUAUAGGUAAGAAGCACACUGCUCGGUAAUGUAAUGGCUCGAAGCUCAACCAGAGCAUUCACCAGGCACUUCCUCAGAGGGUUUUAGCAUGGUCUGUGAAGGUCAGUCCGCCAGCGCCUGCUCUGUUCUUUGCAGGUGGCACUGACUCCAUGUGUAGCUGAGAGAAUGGAGCAUUGGCUUUUACAUUCCUUGAUGUUUACUUUAUAACAGUCAGCUCAUUUGUU